AACGCAUAUUGCGCCCGCUGGUAUUCCAGCGGGUAUGCCCGUUCGAGCGUUAUUUUAAUUCCUUCCCAGGAAGGAGCCGCUGUCUCCAUAGAGGUUCCUGCCAGGGGCGUUGGCAUCGGGCGCCGCUUAGGCGGCCGGAGCCCAAAUACAGUGGCGGACGCGUAGGCGGCCCCUAGCGUAGUAGAAAAUAAUUUUUUUUUUCUCGCUUAGGAGGCUCGCAGCGGUGGACCAUAGCCCUACGCAAAGCUUUUUGCAACCAAAAUUUGACCUCGGAUCGGGUAGGAUUAUCCGCUGAAUUUAA
Molecule: unclassified non-coding RNA, 301 nt
Filed under: uncultured fungus
Lineage: Eukaryota; Fungi
Description: partial contains 5.8S ribosomal RNA, internal transcribed spacer 2, and large subunit ribosomal RNA
Source: RNAcentral